UCUCAUGCAAGUUGGUCUUGCUACUUUCUUCCAGAGACAUCCCAAGAAUGUCGGGAUCGUGCUUUUGAUCUCAUGAAUCAUAAGGAAGCAUGGGACAAGGGAAUCAUAAAAGCAAAAGAGAACUAUACUUCUAAAGAGAUAUGGGCAAGACGGACUCCUAGAAACUGGGGUGCUCCUUGGAGUUAUUUGCAGCCAACAACAUAAAUUAACGGAAGUUUUGUGGCAUUUCAUCGGAAAAUGGACAGAAGAUGGUGGCGAUCACAGUUAGCAAAUAUCUCCAACAUCAGCAGAAUGAUGUCUUAUUGGGACACAGGGAACAAAGAAUUUAUAUGAGAAUGUUAGCUCAUAUGGUCUGCCAUCAACGAAUUUAUAUGUUGUUUUUUUUUUUCAAUUUUGUAAAGUGUAAUAUUACAAGUUAGUGAACAAA
Molecule: long non-coding RNA, 427 nt
Organism: Chenopodium quinoa (quinoa)
Lineage: Eukaryota; Viridiplantae; Streptophyta; Magnoliopsida; Caryophyllales; Amaranthaceae
Exons: 3
Source: RefSeq, a predicted model, not a curated record